GGAGGGCAAUUCUGGUGCCAGCAGCCGCGAUAAUUCCAGUAGCGUAUACUAAAGCUGCUGCGGUUAAAAAGCUCGUAGUUGGAUCUCAGUUCCAGACGAGUAGUGCAUCUACCCGAUGCGACGGCUCGGACUGAACAUCAUGCCGGUCGUUUCUUGGUGCACUUCAUUGUGUGCCUCGAGAUGGCCGGUGCUUUUACUUUGAAAAAAUUAGAGUGCUCAACGCAGGCGAGUCGCCUGAAUAAACUUGCAUGGAAUAAUAGAACAAGACCUCGUUUCUGUUCUGUUGGUUUUUGGAAUACGAGGUAAUGAUUAAGAGGGACAGACGGGGGCAUUUGUAUGG
RNAcentral lists this ribosomal RNA (340 nucleotides) under Haemaphysalis bispinosa. RNAcentral's name for it is "SSU rRNA". It matches the Rfam family "Eukaryotic small subunit ribosomal RNA", at positions 550 to 899 of the family's 1831-position model. The record is from RNAcentral. Lineage: Eukaryota; Metazoa; Arthropoda; Arachnida; Ixodida; Ixodidae.